UCAGGACUUUAGCAUGUGUCGAGCUGACUUAAAGCUCUCCAGCACAGUAUUUAAUAAAAUUAAACUAAGUUCAGUGGUAGUAAAAUAAAGUCAGAUGUCUUGUGUAACUUGUGUUAGCAGACUGAAAUUCACUUGGCGCACAAGCAAAGAGCUCUCCCUUCUCCAUUGGCUUGCGUGCGCGCAUGCGCACACAUGCAUAAAUGCCCAGUGUGGUUAGGCCAAAGGACAACCCCAUGCACCAUUCUUAAGAAACCUGGAACAGGGUCUCUCCUUUGCCGGGAGCUCACCAAUGAGGCUAGACUGGCUGGCCAGCUCACAGGGGGACCCCCUUGACUCUUUCCUCACCAUUAGGAUUACAAUGACGUAUUACCGUACUUAGUAUUUUUUAUUUGGAUUCUGGGAAUUGAACCCAGGCCCUCCUGUUUGCAAAGUAAGGGCUAUCCUGAACAAUCCCCCAGUGCCUCCCCAUAAUUAUCUCUAUUGAGCGCGUCCAAGUUUGCGCAAAAUGAAAGUAUUCAGUCCGGGUUGCCGCUGGCAGACUGUGCCAGGAAGCUGGGUACAGGGCUCCACCGCUCUGAAGGCGACAGUGCUGUUGAAAGCUACCACAUGUCCGUCCUGUCCCGUGCACCGCGUCUGACUGCCCAGCAGCUGACACUCCACCUUUCCUCAGCCUCUCCAGCAAGCCGGGCUCCUCCAUCUUUCCCCUCCUAGCCAUCUGUUCCUGCUGCUCCUGCAGCCUCGUACUUCCCGCCCUCCAUGGCCUGUCUGAGCAGGCGGGUGUGCAGGCCUCUGAUGAGGUGGGCCUCGGCCCCUCCAUCACUCUCAGCCUCGAGGAGAGCACCAGCUGUCUGGCUUGAUUUGCAUUUUUCUCUUGAAAAUAAUGAAAUUAGCUGUGAGUUUCCUGAGGUGAUGCAAAUUUGGGCUCGAGGUGUCAGUGUGUGAUGGAGAGGGAGGGGAGGUCAGGGAAGCACGAGGAGAGCCAGCAUGCUGCUCUAACACAGAAGGGAAACACUACCAAUGUCACUAGAGAUGCGUACUGGCUCAGGAGAAAGUUAGAUGAGGUUUGUGAAAGGUAAUUUUCUUCCAGUCUGGGGGUGGGGGAAGGCACAAAUGGUUUAGGGACACAGAGGAAACACUGUCCACUGAGGUGAAACGGUUCUCAGUCACUGAGCUUCUGUAGCCAGUCAGAGUUGUCCGGGAAUGCUGACGUGCACAGGCCGUGGACUCUGACGUCAAUGCUUAAUUGCAGGUGCUAACUGACUUCUUUCUUGACUAUUAUCAUGACUCCUCAGGUUACAAGUACAGUAGUUAUCUUCUCAAGGUUUGUUGUAAGGGCUUGGUUACCAGUUGUGAGUGGGUCUCAAGUGGGCUCUCCCUUUUUCACAGUUUUUAAACUACUUCAUUAGUUGUUGUACCUAAGGGAAACACAAGAGACUUGGUUCUCUUCUGAGGCACAUGUGCACGUGAAGAUUUGUAAGCAUGCUGAGGGUAUCAGUCCAUUCAUAGACUUCUUCAAAUGGCCAUCUUCUCAAGCAGAGAAAGAGAGAGAGAGACAGAGAGAGAGAGGGAGAGAGAGACAGAGAGAGAGAGAUAGAUCUAGGAGAGGCAUCUGUGUGGACUCUGGCAGACACUGCAACCCAACAACUGAGUCCUGGUUGUCAGGCUACGCCAUCUCAACCCAGGACUGGACAUCCGAAUACAAAGCCACAGCUUUUGACAUGGGAAGAAAGAGCUUCUUUUAGAGGAAGCAACCUUCAAGAUGUUAGUUGGAUUCGCGUACGCAGUAAAUGAUAUCACAAAAAUAGUACACAGCCUGUCACGGAGGUUGUGAUCAAAUGCUAAAUGGAAACAGUGCAGCUGACCUGGAGUAGCCCUGCAACUCCACUUACCUACUGGGGCGAGGCAAGUGGAUGUGAAGCUGGUUUCCCCCAGUGUCAGCUCACACUAAGCCGGCUUGAGCUGGGUUGAACCAAGAUCCUUGCGCAAAAUAAAAAGUGCAAGCACAUGGGACGUAUGCUGACAAGCUGAAGGCCCUGGGUUCAAUCCCUAAUCCAACAAAAUAAAUAGCAAGUCAAUUAAACUAGUCAGGAGCACCAGAGAUUGAUAUACUGGGAUCCUGCUACCGCUCCAGCGCGCACCUCUAUUCAGGAUGACAAACUCAGGCUGUGGAAGUGACUCCGUGUGUAAAGCACUCGCCAAACAGCUGUGAGGGCUUGCCGUGGGAGUCCCGGUGCUCAUUUAAAUGCAGGAUGGGCAUAAGGGCCUUGCUGAAAUCCUUCCUCAGGAGGAAGAGACAGAGGGUUCCUCGAGCAGCUAAAUCAACAAGCCCUGGCAUCAAGGGAGAGAAUCAGUCUCGACACACCCAAGAAGACCAGCCCAAGAAGUCACCCAACCAGGAAGGCACAUCAACCUUUGGCUUUCAAAUAAAUGUGCACACACCAGCUCCUAACAUAUGUGAACAUGCAUACACACAAGCACAGAUGUACACAUGGAAAAAAAAAGAGGCAGUUGCUGGGCAUGGUGGUACAUGCCUUAAUUAAGUCCCAGUCCUUGGGUGAAGACAGAAGCAGGAGGAUCUCUGUGAAUUGAAGUCUGGUUUGGUCUAUAUAUUAAGUUCCAGGCCAGUUAGGGCUUCACAGUAUACAGUGAGACCCAGUCUCAAAACAACAACAUCAAUACUCAAAUUGCAACCUUUCUAUAUAACAUGGGACAAUUCUGCCUUAUGUUUAGCAUUUUUCUGUAGUCACUUUGGAAUAGUAUUAAACUGGUAUCAGGAACAAUGCAUUGAUUAAGGCAAGUGGUAGCUUUUCCCAAGUCCCAUUGCUGGACUUCUAGACUUCAUGGUCCUGCUCUGUCUUUCAUCCAGCCCAAGUAUGGACCAUUAUUAUGAAAGAUGCUGCUGCGUGGGGUGGGUCUGAGGGGGCAGUAAUGUGCUCACCAGGGAGUGAGAGCCUUCCUUCCCUGUGUUUCUCUUCCCUCUUUCUUCUCUUGCCUUGACUCAUUGUCAUCACCACGAAAGAAGAUUACUUCCUGACAGCUCUUCGUGUCAGUCAAGAGUCUAGGUCAGACACUUAUCAAUUGACCCACUGUUAAAGGUAGACACUCAUUUCAGCAUCUGUCAAUGGUCGCUUUUGAUCCAUUUAGGCCGGAGCCCACAUCCCCGCAGUGAUUUACUUGCAAGCGUGCACAGACUUUUAAAGGCAGACAAACAUGCCAGAACUCUGAAAGUCAGCCGCCUGUGUGUGCUUGUCACUGCUGCAGCUGCCCAGCAAAGGACUUCAGAGAUAAGGCUGUGCCUGGGGAUGGUCCCCUGCCACCCUCAGGGCAGAGUCUGACACUGAAACUCUGUGUUCUCCCAUCCACAGAAGGACCAAGCUGACUCUGUGCAUCUUCCUUGUGUGUAGCCCGUGCGCUCUCUCUCUCUCUCUCUCUCUCUCUCUCUCUCUCUCUCUCUCUCUCUCUCUCUCUCUCUCAGACUGUAGAGCGUGUUUCCAGUGGCUGCAGGCCACAGCUCACCCGCACACAUCCUGGCCAAGCGCGGGAUGAUGGCUGGUGGGGCCACUGUGUGACAUCCCUUUGGACCCACGCAAGCCUCCUUUCUUCUCCAAUCUGGUCGAGCAUCAGGAGAGACUUCCCCACUCCGGGGCAGGUGUCUUUCUCCUCCAGCAGGGAUACUGCACAUUUGUCUUUUCCAGGUGUUUGUCAUAAUGCUGUCAGAACCUCCAAACCAGGAAGACAGGAAAAGAAAUGUGAACAUGUAAGACAUUCAGGGGAGCUGAGGAAAUUUUCCUGACGUGCUCCUGCUGUGACACCGCCACAGUUGAAGAAGGCCUGUCAUUGGGCUGUCAACCUUUAACCUCCCACAGACGUAUUUUGAAAUGAUGUGUAAAGAAUUGCUGUGCCAUACCACUGGCUCCUUUCAGCUCGGCGUGUCUGUCCUUGAUGUCAGUCAAAAGUAGUUAACUGGCACCCAUGGAGCCUUAAAAACCCCUCAACCAAGUAUGGGUAAUGACUUUAGUUAAGAAGACUUGCUCUUGUCAAGUAAUGACUUUUUGACAUAAGGUAUUGUUUACCCAGGCAACGUUCUUUACUUGCAUUUUAAUGAGCCUAAUUAAUAAUAAGUUAGGAGUCCGCAGCUAUUUCUUCACAGCUGGACCAUAUGCACUAAUCUACUUAGUGGGGAGAAGUACUCUAAGAACGGAGAAAACCCCCCAUUAUCCCCCACGUUUCUUCUCUGACUCCACCACGGGAUCUACUGUGAUGCGGGGGCAGUUUGCAGAUCGUUAUGGUGGGCAUCGCUUUCGAAAUGGUAGCUUGCUUCGUGGAUUGUCAAGUUUUCACUUGCAAAAGUUUCAGGAAUUUUCCAGAGAAAAUGACACAGAGAGGUGUUUGAUGCAUCCUGUGGGUACAGAACCAGAAUGGUUCUUGGUUGAAGGAUGAACACAAGGGGUCGUGAGACGUGGUCUCAUAAUGGAACUAUAUCACUUACAACAAAUAAAUACCCUCCAAAGGGCCAUUCGGGAGCGUAUGGAAGCCUUGUGUGUGUCUUAGAGAGUGUGGUUUUAUUGGUCCCCCUCACGAUUACAGUCUUAUGAGCAUCCGGGUGUCCUCAGAAUUAUUUAGAAAUCCAGGUAAGAAUUUGGAACCUGGGCAGAAGAACUUCAAAGGAAACAGACUAUCCAUGGUUGGGCGGAAUCUGACACUAAGAGAACUUUUGCCCCUCACCCCCAAGCAUGCCAAAGCACAGGGAAAGGGCAAGGAGCCUGAUGCCCUAGACUGUUGGUGUGAUGGGCAGCAUGGCACGGAGCUCCUGAACUUUCCUCUGAUUGGGAGACUCUGGGAACGCAGAGUCACCUGGGAAGAGGGACCCUCAGUUGAUGACUGCCUCCAUCAGAUUGGCCUGUGGCACUGUCUGACAGACUGGCUUGCUGGAUGACUGAGGGAGCUUCUGGCCUUGCAGAUUUCACCAAAGAGGAGGCCACUGACAUUGCAAAUGGAGUGCAGUUUUAUUCACCAAGGAGUCUUCACAAAGCCAACUCCUGAACACCUCAUUUCAACCCUUUCUGCAGACAUUGUGCUGGGACACCUGAAGCUAUGUGGUGUGUUUGUUUUCCAACAGAGAUUUUCUUUUUCCUUCUGAAAAAUCUACUGAGUUCUGCCAGAAGAAACUCAUGACAUGUUGAGCACAGGAACGAAUGGUAGCAGAAUUACAACUUCAACCAAGGUCCUGUUUUGAGACUGUUGACAUCAUUAAAACCAAGGGAUGAGGAAGAGCCAUUGGAUCCAAGUAGACGUAUCUAUCCCUAAGAAUAAAUGGAUAAAUUAUA
Long non-coding RNA from Rattus norvegicus (Norway rat), 5327 nucleotides. RefSeq lists it as uncharacterized. The record is from RefSeq and is a predicted model, not a curated record. Lineage: Eukaryota; Metazoa; Chordata; Mammalia; Rodentia; Muridae.